UACGAAGGGUGCGAGCGUUGUUCGGAAUUACUGGGCGUAAAGGGAGUGUAGGCGGAUAUGUAAGAUAGCGGUGAAAUGCCGGGGCUCAACCUCGGAACUGCCAUUAUGACUAUGUAUCUAGAGUAAUGGAGAGGAUAGCGGAAUACCCAGUGUAGAGGUGAAAUUCGUAGAUAUUGGGUAGAACACCGGUGGCGAAGGCGGCUAUCUGGCCAUUUACUGACGCUGAGGCUCGAAAGCAUGGGGAUCAAACA
Molecule: ribosomal RNA, 251 nt
Filed under: uncultured bacterium
Lineage: Bacteria
Description: partial 16S ribosomal RNA
Rfam family: Bacterial small subunit ribosomal RNA
Source: RNAcentral